Molecule: unclassified non-coding RNA, 263 nt
Filed under: plant metagenome
Description: partial contains small subunit ribosomal RNA, internal transcribed spacer 1, and 5.8S ribosomal RNA
Source: RNAcentral
UUUCCGUAGGUGAACCUGCGGAAGGAUCAUUAUUGCAUAACCGAGGUGCGUGGGCUGUCGCUGACCCGACAGUUCGUGCACCCCCGAGUGCCGUCACACCCAUCCAUCACACCCCUGUGUGCACCACCGCGUGGGUCCCCCUUUGGCUUGUUAGGAGGGGGGCUUGCGUUUUCCCACAAGCUUUGCAUGCAGUGUAGAUUGUAUUUUUUGUUUUUGCGAUCUCGCAAUAAAUACAACUUUCAGCAACGGAUCUCUUGGCUCUC